RNA transcript from Triticum aestivum (bread wheat), 9113 nucleotides. RefSeq lists it as uncharacterized. The transcript is spliced from 5 exons. The record is from RefSeq and is a predicted model, not a curated record. NCBI's taxonomy places the organism in Eukaryota, Viridiplantae, Streptophyta, Magnoliopsida, Poales, Poaceae.
UAUAACGCGCAGCGAGUUUUAGGUCGCGAUAUUGUUUUGGCAUCGAACAGAGCCGGAAUCCCCAUCUCUCUCGUUCCUCUGCACGCCUCUCAAACCCUAUACGCCGCCUGCCUCAUGCCCUGUCCGACGCCGCAUCACCACCUGGCCGCCGCCGCAGGCCCCUUCCUUCCCUCGUACGCGACGCUGCCGCCGUACCUUCGGCGGUGCGUUUGACGCGCUCGGGCGAGCUUCUGGUGCUCGGGGCAAGUUUUCCCGGUUUCUGCGCCUCCUGUGAAUGGAGGAGUUGGAGGCGCGGAGGCCCGGUCAUCCUUCCGAAUUUCCCGAUGCAGAGACGGUGCGAUGGUAGCUGACUUCCAUGGCCGGCCUCUGUCGAGGCCUGAUGACAAACUGGUGAGUUGAUCUGACUGAUGGGAGGGGCGGUCCGUCGCCGCCCUGCGCCGGUGACUGUUCUCUAUAGACUCCAGGACGGCAAUAUAAUUGUCGCAGAUCUACCGGAGGCGCAUCCCUCUAUGGCGUUGACCGCGACAGAUCUGAAGGUACCGGUGGGUGACUCAGAUCUGCAAGGAGAGACGUGCCGGUCUCCACUGCUAGGGCCUUGGCUAGUGGCUGAUACAUGCUACCGGCGAUGUGAUUAACCAGAGGUAAUUUUGCUAUAACCCGGUGGCUGUGGUGGCACGGUGGGUCGAUCGAGUUCUCCCACUGAGAAAUUUGGAUCUAGCUUUCUCGUCUACCUACCCCAGGCGAGCUCCCUAGCCUUAUAAUGCGGCUACUGUUUGAUGUCUGUAGCAGAAGCCUAGAUCUGUUUGAUCUGCUAUGAUCUACUGUAGCCUUGGCUGAAGAUAAGCCAUAAUCAGCUUCAGAUCUCUGAUGCAGGAUGAUGACAUCCGCAUGCGAGGUAGUGGUUUGGAGCAGGCCAGUGAGGUGCAAUGGUUGCCUGAGGAGAUUGAUAUUUUGCUUGGAGGCUAGCCAUGAUAAUCGAUAAAAUACCACAAGGAACAGACUUACUGGUUUUUGGAUAGUUUGAUAAAAUUAUAUGGCUUAAAUGUUUUUAUUGGUACCAAGGUAAUUAAGUGUGACCAUGUUAUUUUGUGGCUAUUUUUUAUAAUAAUAAUAAUAAUUAUUCACUUUUAUCGAUUAUUUUUCUAUUUGUUCUACAUGUCUAUGAUUUUAGAUUAGUGCAAAUUAAGCCUUACAGAUGAUGAUAUGUGAUUCCAUGUUUAUCACUCACAAUUUUACUCACUCCGUUUUCUUUUUAAAAGGUGUAUAUAAUUUAUAGAAAUAUAUUUUUUCUAUUUUUUUAACAAGUUUAUAGAAUUUAUAGAAAAAGGAAUAUCAAUUUCAAUAAUACUAAUAAAUAAAUAAAUACGAAAAUAUAUUAUGGAUAUAGCAUUUGAUGUGAAGGACGGGCCCCAACUUGUGCCAAGAGGUCCUGGGUUUGACGUGGCCUCUCUGCAUUGCACUGUGUAGGGGUAAGGGUUGCCUUGUAUAAUCCUUCCUCAGACCCCCUACCUCCUGUGGGGCCUUUUAGCACGUUAGUCAAUGAUCCAUGUGGUAUUUUGGUUGUCGAUAUUUUAUUAUCAUUUUCUACAAACGAAACUUAGAGAAAUUGACUUUUGAAAGAGAUUAGUACACACUAUUGUAAAUUUAGGCUGUGUUUGGCAUUGCCGUGGAUUAUUACAUUCCAGCUUUUGCCUAUUUUAUUGUCUGCUCAUCUUUUUUCCUUACUGCAGUGAUUAUUGCAGAGUAGUUAACACUAAUCAUAGUUCAGCAAUCCACAAACUAAGCCUCGGUAUACAUUUUUAAACAAGAUAAUAGCCUACACAUGUUAUUUCUUAAUCAAGUAACUAGCUAAAUUAACCAUAUAACUAUGUUAGCAUUGUACAAUUAUUAUUAUAGAACUAUAAUAUUUAUUAAAUUUUAGGUAUAUGCGUUGUACAUGUUUUAUGAUUGUACAUCAGUGAGAAACUACACAUCGUUGGACAAGAUGAUGUUUGUACAUGUAUGUUAUCACGGCGACUAGUAUAAUAUACUACUCCCUCCCUUCACAAAUAUAAGAUGUUCUAACUUCUUUGUAAAUAGGAUGGAUAUAGACACAUUUUAGUGUGUUUGUUCAUUCAUUUCUGUCUGUAUGUAGUCUAUAUUGGAAUAUCCAAAACAUCUUAUAAUUAUGAACCGAGGGAGUACAUAACUGUGUUGAUAUUGUACAAUUGAAACUUGACUGUAUAUGCUGUAGAUGUCUUAUGAUUUUACAUUAUGAGAAAAUAAUAAGUUUAUUAAGACAUAAUUGUACAUGCUUUAUAUAUAUUACGAUAUGAUUCUACAUCGUGGGAAAAUGAGUUUUGAAUAUCAUACUUCUAAUGUUCCUCAUUAAAAAUAUAUUUAUUAUAGUGUUAAUUCUUUAAAAUUUAAGGGCAUGUUUUGUUCUGAUGAUAUGUAGGAAUAGACACAAGAAUAAGGUAGAAAUGCGUGUGAUAAGAAAACAUAGGAAUUUUGUCAACUGUAUUUGGUUCACAAAACUCGGGAUUAUUAAUAAAAAUGUGGUCAAAUCUAGGAUGCUAUUACGCAAUUAAAGACCUCGGUAGUAGGAGUUCGGAAAAUGAGGUCCAGAUGGUUUUUGCGGGGAUGUUCUGCAUUGCAGAGUAAGUGUGACAGUUGUAGGAACUUGGUCAUUUUAGUUCUACGUGCCUAUUAUUUUCCAUCAUUGCAAAAUAAACCACUCAUAUUUUUAUCUCUUGAUUUAUGAACUGGUUUGGGAGCGAUGCACAUUCUUACCACUCAUGUUCAAGUAUUUAUGGCUUCGGUGCUAAUGAAAUGUGCAGUUCUGUGUUAGUAUUUUAUUUUGUGUUACUUUUACCAUAGAAGUGUAAGAAGGGUCAAUUAUUUUUUUGUUUAUACAGAUGUAGUCGUACCUCUUGGUAGAUAGAAAAGUUAGGAGCAAUAUGCUGUAGUUAUUAGCAUAGCAGAUGUAUGUUUCCAUCGUUUCAUGAGUUGACAGUCACCAUUUUUUCUUGUUAUUACAUGUUGCGUAUAGUUGUAUCUGUUAUACAACUUCCACGUUCAUCAUUGGAAAUAUAGUUGUCUGUUAAACAUCUCUAUGGCCCUUUUGUAUAACCUGACCUUAUAUAAACAGGCGGUCUAGCUGUGAAUAUUUGCUUUUUUCUCUCUGUUAAAGCAUGUUUAAAAUUUUCCAAUUUCUGUGACAUUAUUUUGCCUCAAAAGCAAGCGAGGUGCAUUGAAUCUGACUAGCAGUUUGAAGUUCAUAUUAACUAUACAGAAGUAUAGGAGGGUAGCUUAAUUGUUAUAUCAUGUUGUAUUCAAAUCUUUAUUAUGCGAUGAGCCUUACAGAAUGUUAUUAUAUGCAAGCCAGCACGAGGCGUGAUGGUGUUUCCUCCUUCACCUCAAAUAUGUGCAACUAGAUGAGGCCAGCAUUAGGCGUGUUGGCGUUUCCUCCUUCACCUCAAAUAUGUGCAACUAGAUGAGCGCCGGGAGGCCAUGGGAGUCGCGGUCGCACACAAACCCGUUAUGAGCCUUUCGGCCGCGCAUCCUUGUUGCCGCCAGGAGUGCCGAAGCACGACGGGCAGACAAUGUGUGUCCUUUGCUCACGUCCGUCGAGGCAAGCGAUGAGGCCAACAACGGCGACGUGUGGGAGGAUGGAUGGAAUGCUCGAGGUUGCCUCCGGGCGACAACCAUUGUUGGCGUCCGUCCGAGCAAGGGAUGAGGCCCAUGACGGCGACCACGGACCAGUGUGACACUGCCGAGCGCCGUCCUCACCGCAGUACAUAGUUGUUGAGCUGUCGAGCCCCACCUCUUCUGGAUCUAUCUGGCGAGCAGCAGGACACCGCCAAUCUCCACGGCCAGGAACCCGCAAGGUAGAGAGUGAAGGGGAAGAGGGAGACGACGGUGGGAUCUGUGCUUGCUUGUGCCACCAUGGACCUCGAGUUGCUUUGCUUCUCAUCUCCUCACCAUGUGCCGCUGUUCUUCUUUCUUUCCCUAGAGCGGGACGAAGGGUUGAGCAGGGGUAGAGCGCUACCAAAUUUUGGGGAAAACCGAGAGCGGGACAAAGGGGCUGCAUGCUUGUUGCCACGGACAGGCCAAUAUUCCGCUUUGAUCCCCAGCCUGAAUACCAUGACCUGCCAAACAACAAACAUUUGGGUAUCCCAAUGCCAAUGUCUAAUGCUGGGCCUCAUCAUCAACCUCCAAACGGUGUGUUAUCAAAAGACACUUGUAUUAUGGUGAGCUUGUAAUUAGCUUCACAAGAAGCACCUUCUGGAUUCUAUUGUUGAUCAGGUUUGAUAAAAAAAUUCAACAAGUAAGAGAACUUAACCAUCGCAGAAUAUCACAUGGGCAUGCACAUAGCAGACAGGUGACAGGUAAUAUGUGAGCACGGCAGGUAAUAUGUGAAGUAAUAUGUUCAUAGGAGUUCAAAAUAGGCAAGGCAUAAUAUGGUCAAAGGAGUACAUUAUAUCAGUAGAACAGAUGAAUCUCCUGACAUUGCGCUUUAUUUUGCCAUGAUACUCCACUUGCUGUUUUGUUCUCCUGCCCUUGAUGCCCGCCUUUGCUGCAAUGCAUAGUAAUUAGUUUAUGUAUAUGAUCAAAUUAUCUAGGAGAAAAUUUAUAGUAUGCAAUGAUUUAAGGUGCAUUCUGACCGUCUUUUUUACUUGGCAGGUUUUCUUUUCUGUGAUAUAAGAGACUCUAUUGUCACUACUUAUUAUUCUUUGAUAAUUGGUUGGGCUACUACUACACUGAAGGUAUAAAAUAUGUGCAGGAAGCAUCACCACAGCUAGCAUAGGAUACGAGUAAAAUCCUGAUUGCACAGGAGACUCUCCCUCCUUUCCGGUUUAUUAGGCCUCCAAAGCUCAAGAGCUUUGCAUAUUUGUUAGGCCUAAGAGUUUCGCAUAUUUAUCACCACAGCUAGCAUAGGAUACGAGUAAAAUCCUGAUUGCACAGGAGACUCUCCCUCCUUUCCGGUUUAUUAGGCCUCCAAAGCUCAAGAGCUUUGCAUAUUUGUUAGGCCUAGUCCUGGCCAUGGGAAGCCCGGCCCGACCCGGCCCGAAAAAGCCCGGCCCGGCCUGGCCCGACGCUACCUCCGGGCCGGGCUCGGGCCUAGUUUUUGAGCCUGAAGGCCGGGCUGGGCCCGGGCUCGUCAUUUUUGCAGUUUACUGAAGGUCGGGCCGGGCCGGCCUGAAGCCUGAUGGGCUUUUAGGUGUUCGGGCCGGGCUCGGGCCCAGAAACACAGGCCCGAUGGCCGGGCCCGGGCCUGGAUUUUUUGUGUCGGGCUUGGCCAGGCCCGGCCCGAAGCCCGGCCCGGCCUGAGGUUUGGCCAAGUAUAGUUAGGCCUAAGAGUUUCGCAUAUUUGUGCCUGUACCAGAUUGCCAGGAAAAGUUAAAAAACGAGUACUUUUUUUUUUGCUGUAACUGAAAAUCUUAGCACAUAUGAACAGCCAUUGGAAAUUUGCUUACGCAAUCUUAGCACACAUGAGCAGACUUUUAUGAGCAUUAACAUUUUGUAUAAUGCUAAAUUGCCUGUUCUGCUGUGAGAAAUGUCCAUACUUGCAGUUAACAAAUACAGUACUACUUACUUAAUUCGCUAGUAAAAUCCCUCUAGUUGAGCAGAACAAAUACAGUACUACCUACCUCUAAUUCAGCACAACUACUUUAUUCCCACCCAAUUUUGCAGUUAACAAAUACAGUACUACUUAAUUCGCUAGUAAAAGCCCUUUAAUUUCCUAACAACUCGGCGCAGUCAGCGCUCCCGUCCAUAUCUGCCAUUGGAUUAUUAUAAAUCUUGCUCUAACAAUUGCGUCAGAACCCCGUCCAAAAUCGUCCAAAUCCCCAGUCAAUCUGCGCUAAUUUCGGAAUCUGCAGUCAAUCUGAGCUAAUCAUGGAAGGGUGAACGGAAUCGGAUUCUGUACCUGAGUUGUUUAAUAGCGGCAUUCCCUAAACGGCGCCCGUUGCAGGCAUGUGCGCAAACGGGCGCACACCCCCCGCGGCACCCAUUAUGUGUUUUUAUUUUUUGUCUUAAUCCGCAAAAAAGGGCGCUACCAGGAUUCGAACCACCUACCUCCGCAUCAAGGACAGCAAGUUCAACCACGCGAGCACAGGGCAGGAUAUGGUUACGCUUUAGUUUUUCUGUCUAUUAUUCGUUCUUUUUCCUUUUUCAUUUUUUGUUUUCCUUUUUAAAUUACACGGCCACGUGUUUUUCUUUUUUCUUUUUUUUCUGUUCUUUCUUUUCGCCUUUUCUUUUUCUUUUUCUUUUUCUGUCUUUUUCAACAUCGACGAACUUUUUUUCAAUUUUAUGAACUUUCUUUCAAAUUUGAUGAAGUUUUCUUCAAAAUCGAUGAAGUUUUUUCAUAUUCGGUGAACUUUUUGCAAAAUCGAUGAACUUUUCUCACCAAAUUCCAUGAACUUUUUCCAUAAUCGAUGAAUUUUUUUUCAAAUUCAAUGAACUUUUUUUCAAAUUCAAUGAACUUUUUUUGAAAAUCUGUGAACUUUUUAAAAUUUGAUGAACUAUUUUCGAAUUGGAUGAACUUUUUUCAAUAUCCAAAAUAUGUUCAGAUUUUUCGAAAUUUCGCUUGAAUUUUCAGAAAAUGUUUUUAGAAAUUCCAAAUGUUGUUCAUGUUUUCGAAUUUUGUUCACGUUUCAAAAAUAGUUCUGAAUUCCAAAUUUUGUUAACCGUAUUGAAGAAAAAUGUUCACCAUACAUUGAAAAAAUGUUCAGUUUGUAUAAAAAAAUGUUCAUCAUGUAUAGAAAUUUUGUUCAGCAUGUAUUCAAAAGGAGUUCAUCGUAUUUAAAAAAAAGUUCUAUGUGUAUUUGAAUAUUGUUCACCAUACAUUGAAAAAAAGUUCAGUGUGUAUAAAAAAUGUUCAUAGUGUAGAGAAAUUUUGUUCAGCAUGUAUCCAGAAAAAGUUCAGCAUAUUUAAAAAAAUGUAACUUUAUGUAAUACAUGGUGAACUUUUAUAAAAUUUGGUGAAAGUUUUUGAAUACAUGAACUUUUUUCUAAUUCGAGAUUUUUUAAAACUUAUUUCAGAUUUUUUUCUUUUCCAAAAAAUUACGUCUUUCUAAAUUGUUUGUACCAGAAGUAGUGCGUUAGUAUUGUUGUUAACCAUCUCGCGCUGUAAUGAAUCACUAGGUUAUAGUAGAUGUACUGUUUAGGCACGCUGCGUCAUAACUAAACGGCGCGAGAUCGAAUCCUGUUGGAAGCAGCUUUUUUGGGAGGUUUUUUCUCUGCGUGUUCCUGGGCCGGCCCACCAGAUAGUGCCAGUGGGCGCCAGUUGCCUGUACCGGCGCUUAAUGCGCCGUAUAGGAGCUCCCCCCCUACGCGCGGCCUCCAGCUCCAACUCCCGCGCCCUCUGGGCCUCCAGCUCGCGAGCCUUCGCCGCCUCGGCCACCUUCUUCGCUGCCUGGCAUUUCCUGGUAUGCUCCGUGCCCGCGGCCAGCCCCUCGAUUUUCUCUCCGCACGCGCAGGUGUACCGAACAGUAGCGGACUGGGACUUCUUGCCUCCCUUACCGGCCAUCCCGCGGUGGUGGUGGCGGCGGCGGCGGGGAUGGGAAGGGGUGGAUUUGGAGGAGGCGGAGGCUGGAAAGGGUUGGCUGGUCGUAAUAGGUUUGUUGUAGGUUAGGGUGUAUUUUAAGUGUGUAUGUCUAUUUUCUUGAAAAGAAUUAUCUUAAGGGAAAUACUUAUAUUCAUCUGGCCGUUCGGAUGCAAAAUGUCUGUGGCAUUGUUAUCGCGCCACGUGCCCCGUGCCCCCGAGACAUGAUGGCGUGCAUGCGCAACAACCCUACCCCAACGGCUGACUGGGGAAUACCUACGAGGUAGGCCCAUCACUAUUGGGAAAAACCUUACAGGUGGCCUCUACUGAGUGGCGGGCGCUGUCAGGAGGGCUUGUUUGAGGACCCGCCACUGUUAUACGCUCGCUAAUUCUUCAUGGGCGAGAAGCAACACUGACGGGCAUAUAGAUGUGCCCGCCAGUGGUUCCUCGCCAAGCAGUGGCGGGUGCUUCCAAGCGACCGCAACAGCUAUAUCUAGGUACUCGUGUCUGAUGGUUUCAAAAUUUAUCAAAGUUUGGAGUGGUGGGUACUACCGGGCACCCGCCGCAACUAUCUGCCACCUACCACGCAUAUAUAGUUGUUGCAGGCGCUAUAUGUCGCUCGUCACUCUGGUGACAGUCACCCGCGCCUUCCUCCGCAUCCAACGUCGCCCGCGUCUCCGCCCAACUCGUCGUUCGCCUCGGCCAUCGUCCUGGCCGUCGUCCGACUCCACCCCGUUGUUUUGAGAAGAGGACACCGACUGUUGCAGGAUCAAGGACGACCAUCACCUACAGUCGCAAAUACAAUGACGCUAUCGCCUAUCGAAAGAUUCAAUAUGCAUCGAAGUGUGAAUGGCUUUCUCAAUUUCGCGAUGGCAAAUAUGAUACAAAAGGGUGAAGUGCAGAUAUUAUGUCCAUGUUUGACAUGGGAAAAUGGAAUUUUGCACAACCCGUUUGAAGGCAGCCUGCUGGCGCACUUGCUCCGUCGCGGUUUCGUUGCAGGUGAUACACGGUGGCCAAAGCAUGGUGAGGAGGAUGUUAGCGAUGAUGGAGGAAACAAUGACGUAGAAAACUCUGGCGAUGAACAGGCAGAGCCGCCAGAAGGAGGAAACAAUGAACAUGCGCAUGGAGAAGGAAAUGAUGAAAUGCCACCCGAACAUGAAGAGGACCAUGAGACUGUCACGCAGGAUAUGUCGUUGGCUACAAUGCUACAAGAUCCUCAUGUUAAAGAUCUGCUUCGGAAGAAGACAACAAGCGAGAGAGCUGCUAUUAAAGAGGCUGUAAAGUUGGCGCAAUUGGAAAUAGACACGAAAACUCCACUGCAUGAAGGUUGCAAUCCCGAGAAAAAGCGCUUGCACAUCACACUCAAACUUCUGGACAUCAAGGCAAGAUUCAAGAGCACAGAUGCAAGUCUGGAUGCUACAUUGAAAUAUUUACACAAAGUUUUGCCCAAGGGGAAUUUUUUGCCUCGCAGUGUUGAUGAGGCAAAGAAGAUUCUGUGUCCGAUUGAUUUGCCACAUGUAAGAUAUCACGCAUGCAUAAAUGAUUGCAUCUUAUAUUGAAAUGAGUAUGCGAACAAAAUAGAGCA